UACGUAGGGGGCGAGCGUUGUCCGAAGUUACUGGGCGUAAAGGGCCCGUAGGCGGCCAACUAAGUCGGAUGUGAAAUCCCCAGGCUCAACUUGGGAACUGCAUCCGAUACUGGAUGGCUUGAAUUCGGGAGAGGGAUGCAGAAUUCCAGGUGUAGCGGUGAAAUGCGUAGAUAUCUGGAGGAAUACCGGUGGCGAAGGCGGCAUCCUGGACCGACAUUGACGCUGAGGAGCGAAAGCUAGGGGAGCAAACGGG
Molecule: ribosomal RNA, 253 nt
Filed under: uncultured bacterium
Lineage: Bacteria
Description: partial 16S ribosomal RNA
Rfam family: Bacterial small subunit ribosomal RNA
Source: RNAcentral